GAUGAACGCUGGCGGCGUGCUUUACACAUGCAAGUCGAACGAAGCACUUUAUUUGAUUUCCUUCGGGACUGAUUAUUUUGUGACUGAGUGGCGGACGGGUGAGUAACGCGUGGGUAACCUGCCUUGUACAGGGGGAUAACAGUUGGAAACGGCUGCUAAUACCGCAUAAGCGCACAGCAUCGCAUGAUGCAGUGUGAAAAACUCCGGUGGUAUAAGAUGGACCCGCGUUGGAUUAGCUAGUUGGUGAGGUAACGGCCCACCAAGGCGACGAUCCAUAGCCGACCUGAGAGGGUGACCGGCCACAUUGGGACUGAGACACGGCCCAAACUCCUACGGGAGGCAGCAGUGGGGAAUAUUGCACAAUGGGCGAAAGCCUGAUGCAGCGACGCCGCGUGAGCGAAGAAGUAUUUCGGUAUGUAAAGCUCUAUCAGCAGGGAAGAUAAUGACGGUACCUGACUAAGAAGCACCGGCUAAAUACGUG
Molecule: ribosomal RNA, 481 nt
Filed under: uncultured bacterium
Lineage: Bacteria
Description: partial 16S ribosomal RNA
Rfam family: Bacterial small subunit ribosomal RNA
Source: RNAcentral